This 72-nucleotide transfer RNA is filed under the name Phrynosoma platyrhinos (Desert horned lizard). Its description in RNAcentral is "tRNA-OTHER". It matches the Rfam family "tRNA". Rfam says of the family: Transfer RNA (tRNA) molecules are approximately 80 nucleotides in length. Their secondary structure includes four short double-helical elements and three loops (D, anti-codon, and T loops). Lineage: Eukaryota; Metazoa; Chordata; Lepidosauria; Squamata; Phrynosomatidae. The record is from RNAcentral.
GCCAGCGUAGCAUAGUGGUUUGAGCAUUGGACUAUGACUCUGGAGACCAGGGUUCAAGUCCCUGCUCAGCCA